GACGAACGCUGGCGGCGUGCUUAACACAUGCAAGUCGAACGGAAAGGCCCUGCUUUUGUGGGGUGCUCGAGUGGCGAACGGAUGAGUAACACGUGAGUAACCUGCCCUUGACUUUGGGAUAACUUCAGGAAACUGGGGCUAAUAACGGAUAGGAGCUCCUUCUGCAUGGUGGGGGUUGGAAGGUUUCGGCGGUUGGGGAUGGACUCUCGGCUUGUGGGCUUGUUGGUGGGUGGUUGGCUUACCAAGGCUUUGACGGGUAGCGGGCCGGAGAGGUUGACCGGCCAGAUUGGGACUGAGGUACGGCCCAGACGCCUACGGGAGGCAGCAGUGGGGAAUAUUGCACAAUGGGCGGAAGCCUGAUGCAGCAACGCCGCGUGGGGGAUGACGGCCUUCGGGUUGUAACCCGCUUCCGCCUGUGACGAAGCGUGAGUGACGGUAAUGGGUAAAGAAGCACCGGCUAACUACGUG
This 468-nucleotide ribosomal RNA is filed under the name uncultured bacterium. RNAcentral describes it as "partial 16S ribosomal RNA". It matches the Rfam family "Bacterial small subunit ribosomal RNA", at positions 28 to 507 of the family's 1533-position model. The record is from RNAcentral.